UACGAAGGGGGCAAGCGUUGUUCGGAAUUACUGGGCGUAAAGGGCGCGCAGGCGGCCGAUCAAGUCAGAUGUGAAAGCCCCGGGCUCAACCUGGGAAUAGCAUUUGGGACUGGUCGGCUAGAGUUCGGGAGAGGAGAGUGGAAUUCCCAGUGUAGAGGUGAAAUUCGUAGAUAUUGGGAAGAACACCGGUGGCGAAGGCGGCUCUCUGGACCGACACUGACGCUGAGGAGCGAAAGCGUGGGGAGCAAACAGG
Molecule: ribosomal RNA, 253 nt
Filed under: uncultured bacterium
Lineage: Bacteria
Description: partial 16S ribosomal RNA
Rfam family: Bacterial small subunit ribosomal RNA
Source: RNAcentral